This 587-nucleotide small RNA is filed under the name Pan troglodytes (chimpanzee). RNAcentral's name for it is "retained intron". The record is from RNAcentral. Lineage: Eukaryota; Metazoa; Chordata; Mammalia; Primates; Hominidae.
AACCAGACGCCCAGUCACAGGCGAGAGCCCUGGGAUGCACCAGCCAGAGGCCAUGCUGCUGCUGCUCACGCUUGCCCUCCUGGGGGGCCCCACCUGGGCUGGGAGUAAGUCAGCGGGGUCUGCCCUCAAUCUCCCCUGCCUCCCUCCAGGAGAGCCAGGGACUCACCUGGCCCUUGUCCCAGACUAACUCUGGUCACAGAACCAUCCUGUCUGCCUGGAGGGGCGGGGUCCCCUGUUCUGGCAGAGUUCACCCCCAUAUCACCGUGUGGGGAUUUUCUUCCCUUUGGGUCUUUCUUUUCUUCAGAGAUGUAUGGCCCUGGAGGAGGCAAGUAUUUCAGCACCACUGAAGACUACGACCAUGAAAUCACAGGGCUGCGGGUGUCUGUAGGUCUUCUCCUGGUGAAAAGUGUCCAGGUGAAACUUGGAGACUCCUGGGACGUGAAACUGGGAGCCUUAGGUGGGAAUACCCAGGAAGUCACCCUGCAGCCAGGCGAAUACAUCACAAAAGUCUUUGUCGCCUUCCAAGCUUUCCUCCGGGGUAUGCUCAUGUACACCAGCAAGGACCGCUAUUUCUAUUUUGGGAAGCU